This is a long non-coding RNA of Rhagoletis zephyria (snowberry fruit fly), 1338 nucleotides long. RefSeq lists it as uncharacterized. The record is from RefSeq and is a predicted model, not a curated record. NCBI's taxonomy places the organism in Eukaryota, Metazoa, Arthropoda, Insecta, Diptera, Tephritidae.
GGUGUGGCAAAGGGCUCGGGUUAUUUUUAUCCCGAAGAUAGGAAACAGAGACUACUCUCUCGCUAAGUCCUUCAGGCCGAUAAGUCUAACGUGUCUAACGUCUUUUCUGCUUAAGGCAAUGGAGAAAGUUAUCGACCAUGAAAUCAAGUACAACAACCUGAAACAAGCGCCUUUGCAUCCUGAACAGCAUGCCUACAGAGCGGGUAGUACAAGGCGCCGUUGAGUGUGGUGAGACAGUACUCUGUGCCUUCAUGAUGGUGUUGACCGGGCACUUGAAAAACGUAAUGUGCAGACAACUAUCGGCAAUUGCAUAGCUAGGCUACUUCGCACAAGCAUAGUUGAAACCGGCAUCGUGGACAACGUGGUACACCUACAUAAGAAGAGCACAUUGGGUGAGCCCACCUGGGCUAAGGCAGGCUAAAGUACUUCUUGAAGGCUAUAAUACCAAAAGAUCUAGGGAACUAAUAACCCUUCAAUAGACUAAGACUGAUAACCAGGCAAGGGUGAACAACCUCAUUGUGAUUAUUGCCAGAGAGUAGUUCAUGAGAACUCUCUGCUCGUACCUAGCACAAUCAAGGAAGACCUCUGGAGGGGAGUAACAGACUCAGAGAUCAACGCCGGUUUACACCUGCUUCGCGAGUGCGAGGCGGUCGCAAGAUGGGAGAGGUACCUAGGGCAACUCUGACCUAAGUUUUUAUUGGCACGAAAAACUGGCCCUGAUAAAAAGUUUUAUACCAGUUGCAUCGUAAAAUAAUUUGAAAAUUGUUCUUCCAAAAUACCUUUCUUUAAUUCAAAUGAACAUGAUACAUACAUACAUACGUUGGUUGGAUACAUAUGCCGAUUGCAAUAGUACCAGACAAAAUGGAAAUUUCAAAAAAUCAUAAUUACAUAACCGUUUUCUGUUACAAUUUAUUUUUUAUACUUUUAAGUUGCGUUAAUAAGAAUCGUUCAUGCAAUUUUGUUGCACAAUUUUUCUUUCCUUUAAUGAACAAAAAACCCAACGAAUAUCUUUCGUUUUCGACGCUUUUAAAAUUAUAAAUGAUAAGCACGUACAUACAUACUUAUGUAUUGUGUGUAUAUAAAAAAAAAAUAUUUUUAAACAUAUGAUUAGAAUAUCUUUCAGUUAUAGUAGUUUAUACAGAUUGUUUUGAAUUUUGAACUGAGAAAAAAAUUUAAAAUUGCUGGAAGAAUCUAUAAAGGUAAAGAGCCAGUGUUGUUAUUUCUUAGUUAUUUUCCCAAUUGGAAUUUGUGGACGACAGUCCGACUAAUUAUGCGAAAGGAUAUUGUUGGGGUAGUACAAAAGAAGGGUAGAAAUAAACGAGCAAAGUAUACGUAUUA